UGAGGUUUCACCUUCCUCUCAAACAUGGCAUCAAGGACCUGAGAUAGCUGCUCCUAGAAAACAAGCAGGAGUGGGGGGAAAAAUCAACUAUCAGAAAACAGACCUCAGUGUUACUGCUGGACAAGGGAAAUCCAACUUUACAUGCACAGACACCUUUUCUCCCAAGAUGCGUAAGUACAGGCAACAUAAUAAGCCCUUUAGAAUUAUGACAAUUGGCUGACAACUAUUUCUAUAAGUGCAUUUGCUUUAUGUAUUCUGAAUAAUGCAGUUUUCACAUAUUCUUAUUACAUUCAUACAGAUUAAUAAAGAUCUGAUUUAAGUGGUUCUUUAAAAGGCUUUAUCAUCAUAUGUACAGUAAAACAACUGAGACAAUGCCUUACAGCAGAAUAGCCAUUAAAUUAUUUUUUUUUCUUCUACUACAGCAAGAUUUGGCAAAGUAUUUAAAAUUACAUUUCCCUAGGGGCAAACGAGAACUUUCAUGAUGAAAGAGCUAGAAUAAUAAACGGAAAGUAAAUAAUCACAGUCUCUUUUAGAUUCAUAUCUUUACACACACAUAAUGAAAGCAUUACAAGCAGACAAUACUGCUUCAACUAGAUUUUAAAGACAAGCACUUUUAACAAGAUACAAUGUGUUCCUACUUAAUUAUGAUUCCUAGGUAGGCUUUGUUCAGGGCUGGUUUUUUGUUUUGUUUUACUCCUUCUGCAGCCUGCAAGAUCUGGCCUGGACACAACCCCCAGCUCAAGUGACUCAGGGACAGAGCACCACACAAACCACAGACCAAAGGCUUCACAGCACCCUCUGCUCCAGGCAUCUGGCUGGAAAAGACUUUCCUGUCAUACCAGGAGGCAACUUGCUGGGGGUCUUACUGAACUGCAACAAAACUUCAGAAGACAAUCCUCAACUGGUAUAUCUUUAUUUAAAUCCUCCUCCUACUCAGGAGCAAUUAAAAUGAAAAACUUGUGCCAAUGUAGGACUAGAGACAGAAUUCUCCUAAGCACUUCUCCUAACUCUCUGGCAUAACCAAAUGAACAUGACAUUUGCCUUUUUUUUUUCCAACUAAACCAACAGCUGUUUGUCAUUGUAUUUGCUUCAUAUAGUUGUCUAUUUAAUUAUAUCAAGGCACAACUUUUAUUUAAUGCCCUUAUGUAUGAGUUAUGCCAAAUGUUUUAUUAUGCCAAAUGUUUUAUCUUCCACUCUGCACACUCACACACUGGAGAGUUACACUCUCUCACCUCACUGAAGCCACAUGCUGCAGGAGAAUAAUGACAAACUCAUGAGGCUAUAAUUUUUGAUAAUUUUAAAAUUUACAGUUUCCAGAGGACCUAUGAUGAAAGCACUCUGGUGAUAAAAUAAACCCUCUGCAAGUCUCUCCUGUACAGCUGGAGGAGCCAAGGGACAACACUGCCUGAUUUUACAGAACCAUUUCCAAACUAAGCCACUCCUGGGACUCCUGCACUUUGGGCUUCCAUGUCUCAGCUCACAAGGAGAGAGCCCAGCAUCCCAUCAGACACUGGUGUGCUCUGGGACUUGCAGUAAGAGGCAAGUCUGCAUGAAAAUUAAAACAACAAAAAUACUUCCAUCAUGGUAGAGGACUAACAAAAAUAAGAAAGUUUUGCAUGUGGCUGCUCAUUGGAGUAAACAGCUCUGACACUGACAGUAACUACCAAAAGCAAAAUACUGCCCUUUCAAUCUUAAAACAGUAAUUUACAAUUUGCUACUUCUGUUUCCAAUUCCCUUUACUACAUUUAAGUAGAAAUGUAAAAUGGAAGAAGGGUAUUUUGGAGUUACACAUUAUUCCAUGUGGUGAAGCCUGGGAAAUUCAAAGGAGCAAGGUUUAUUCUUGCAAGUCAAGAAAUGAGAAGAGUGAAAUGGAUAAACAUGCUGCUGACCUUGUUCAAGCCUUCUAAGAGAGCCUUACUGAUGAGAUAGUCAGCCAUAAAAAAGGUCUCCUGGAAAACAUGAUGCUACUACUAUUUCAGAGCACACAGAUUCACAAUUGUAGAAGAAAGCCUUCUGCUUUAAUGAUUCUGGUUUAGCCCAUCACAUAAAUCUUAACACAUUUCCAAAUGUGCUACGUAAGCAAGGCAGACAGAACCAGAAAUUCAGCACCAAUAAUGCUUAUGUGCCUGAAACAGUGAUAUUUGGAGUUAAAAACAGCACAAAGAAUGUUCACUUUCCAUUCAGUUUACAUCAGAACACCACAAGUUCCGAGAAAUGGCUCAAAUACCUUCCCCCCAAAAGAAGGCAUGUAGCUUACAGGCUUUUAGCUGCAAGCUGUAGCUAGAGAAGAGAAUUUAGCUGAGGAAUAAAACAGGAAAAGUGGCUUUCUAGUAUAGAAAUAAGAAAUUUUCUUUCAGUUUACAGAUCAAGGCUUUUUUUGUGUUUUAUACGUGUAAUUCUGCCAUAUGAACUGCUAAACCUGCAAUAAGGCAAAUAAUAUUUUUAAAUCAUCUUGAGAAAAGUGCAGUAAAGCACUUUUUGCCUUAAAAUUUCAUCUAGCAACGAAGAUUACUGACAUCUUUCUGACAUCUGUCAUGACAGAGAACCAAAGCAUGCCAAAGUGUUAAAAGGCACUUCUGAAAUCAAUUAUAUGAUAUGAUUUUCACAGAUUUCUACAGAAUGUCCAAAUACAUUAAGAACCACACUACCCUGAAUAGAACAACUAACACCUAUCUACCUGUAGCAACCAGGAGCAAUAAAAAAUUAGCAUGGCUUGACACAAAAGGAUUGUGUGCAGAGGAAUGACGUGGAAGCCCCCAAGUCCCUGUGCUUGGAAACUGCUGCUUCCUUUCCUGGCACACUGGAAAAGCAGGAAAUGUGGGAAGUCACUGUUGGACCCCUUGAAGACAAGCCUGGCAGCUCCCCCCAUUCCUGUGUGGCUGCAGAGCAAUUCCAAAGCCCUGGUGAGCACCAGCCAUGGCAAAGGUGUGACUCCUUCACUCCUUCACUGCCAGGAUCAGCCAGCUCUGGCCUUCAGCAUCUCCCUGAAUAAAUGAAUUGUCUCAGCAGGAAAUACACACUUGAAGUGGUCAAACAAAAGACUAAUACUGGAUAGAAAUUAA
Long non-coding RNA from Passer domesticus (house sparrow), 3062 nucleotides. RefSeq lists it as uncharacterized. The record is from RefSeq and is a predicted model, not a curated record. Lineage: Eukaryota; Metazoa; Chordata; Aves; Passeriformes; Passeridae. The transcript is spliced from 2 exons.